AGAACGAACGCUGGCGGCAUGCCUAACACAUGCAAGUCGAACGCUUGCCGGGCUUCGGUUCGGCAGGAGUGGCGCACGGGUGAGUAGCGCGUGGGAACCUGCCCUGUUGUGGGGGAUAACCGAGGGAAACUUCGGCUAAUACCGCAUACGCCCGGGGCCUAGUCUUCGGAUUAGGUUUCGGGGAAAGAUUUAUCGCAGCAGGAGGGGCCCGCGUCGGAUUAGCUAGUUGGUGGGGUAACGGCCCACCAAGGCACCGAUCCGUAGCUGGUCUGAGAGGAUGAUCAGCCACACUGGGACUGAGACACGGCCCAGACUCCUACGGGAGGCAGCAGUGGGGAAUAUUGGACAAUGGGCGCAAGCCUGAUCCAGCAAUGCCGCGUGAGUGAUGAAGGCCUUAGGGUUGUAAAGCUCUUUCGCCCGCGACGAUGAUGACGGUAGCGGGAGAAGAAGCCCCGGCUAACUUCGUGCCAGCAGCCGC
This 478-nucleotide ribosomal RNA is filed under the name uncultured bacterium. RNAcentral describes it as "SSU rRNA". It matches the Rfam family "Bacterial small subunit ribosomal RNA", at positions 26 to 518 of the family's 1533-position model. The record is from RNAcentral.